UACGUAGGGUGCAAGCGUUGUCCGGAAUUAUUGGGCGUAAAAAAGCGCGUAGGCGGCCCAGUAAGUCCGCUCUGAAAGUCAGGGGGCUCAACCCCCUGAAUGCGGGUGGAUACUGCUGGGGCUAGAGUCCGGAAGAGGCGAGUGGAAUUCCUGGUGUAGCGGUGAAAUGCGCAGAUAUCAGGAAGAACACCCGUGGCGAAGGCGGCUCUCUGGAACGCAAACUGACGCUGAGACGCGAAAACGUGGGGAGCAAACAGG
Molecule: ribosomal RNA, 258 nt
Filed under: uncultured bacterium
Lineage: Bacteria
Description: partial 16S ribosomal RNA
Rfam family: Bacterial small subunit ribosomal RNA
Source: RNAcentral